RNAcentral lists this ribosomal RNA (1234 nucleotides) under metagenome. Its description in RNAcentral is "bacterial SSU rRNA". It matches the Rfam family "Bacterial small subunit ribosomal RNA", at positions 272 to 1498 of the family's 1533-position model. The record is from RNAcentral.
GGCGGCGAUGAGUAGCCGGCCUGAGAGGGUGAUCGGCCACACUGGGACUGAGACACGGCCCAGACUCCUACGGGAGGCAGCAGCUAAGAAUCUUCCGCAAUGGGGGCAACCCUGACGGAGCGACGCCGCGUGGACGAAGAAGGCCGGGAGGUUGUAAAGUCCUUUUCCUGGGGGAGAAUAAUGAGUGGAGGGAAUGCCAUUCAGAUGACGUGAACCAGGGAAUAAGCCCCGGCUAAUUACGUGCCAGCAGCCGCGGUAACACGUAAGGGGCGAGCGUUGUUCGGAUUUAUUGGGCGUAAAGGGCGUGUAGGCGGUAAGGUAAGUCUGGUGUGAAAUGCCCCGGCUCAACCGGGAGAGCGCGCUGGAAACUGUCUUACUUGAGUGAUGGAGGGGGAGCUGGAAUUCCUGGUGUAGGGGUGAAAUCUGUAGAGAUCAGGAAGAACACCGGAGGCGAAGGCGAGCUCCUGGCCAUUUACUGACGCUGAGGCGCGAAAGCGUGGGGAGCGAACAGGAUUAGAUACCCUGGUAGUCCACGCUGUAAACGAUGUGCACUGGGUGUUGGACCUGAGAGGUUCAGUGCCGUAGCAAACGCGUUAAGUGCACCGCCUGGGGAGUAUGCUCGCAAGGGUGAAACUCAAAGGAAUUGACGGGGGCCCGCACAAGCGGUGGAGCAUGUGGUUUAAUUCGACGAUACGCGAGGAACCUUACCAGGGCUUGACAUAGACACGACGGUUGUAGAGAUACAGCUUCUCUUCGGAGCGUGUUUACAGGUGCUGCAUGGCUGUCGUCAGCUCGUGCUGUGAAGUGUUGGGUUAAGUCCCGCAACGAGCGCAACCCUUGCUGUCUGUUGCCAACAGGUUAUGCUGGGGACUCGGACGGUACUGCCGGUGACAAACCGGAGGAAGGUGGGGACGACGUCAAGUCAUCAUGGCCCUUAUGUCCUGGGCUACACACGUGCUACAAUGGCCGGUACAGAGCGAAGCGAAACCGCGAGGUAGAGCAAAUCGCAGAAAGCCGGUCUUAAGUUCGGAUUGAAGUCUGAAACCCGACUUCAUGAAGGUGGAAUCGCUAGUAAUCGCGCAUCAGCAUGGCGCGGUGAAUAUGUUCCCGGGCCUUGUACACACCGCCCGUCACACCACCCGAGUUGGGGGUACCCGAAGUCGCUCGUCUAACCGGUAACGGAGGACGGUGCCGAAGGUAUGCCUGGUAAGGGGGGUGAAGUCGUAACAAGGUA